AUGGAUUGGCCGUCUCUCACCAGGUACACCAUGGUCAUGAUCCUCUUCUCCCUGCCACUGAGCGCUUCCCAAGACCGUCUCGUCCCCAGCAAUGUGUUGUACCCUGGUAACACGAUCGUCUCCGAUGAUGGUGGAUUCGUCUUGGGCUUCUUCAAUCCCUCCAACUCCACUCCAGCCAUCCUGUACCUAGGCAUAUGGUAUAACGACAUUCCUGAGCUCAGUGUUGUGUGGGUCGCCAACCGAGACACCCCGGGAACCAACACAACUUCCUCAACACCGAAGCUCUCCCUCACCAACAACUCUAAUUUGGUUCGCUCCGACGAUGGUGGCGGGAGCUGCAUCAUUUGGGCAACAACUAACGUGACCACUGGUCUGGUCGUCUACCCUGACGGUGGUGGUUCUGAACACGGGAAAAAUAAAAGGAAAAAAACUGACCGGAAGCUUCCACUAGUGGGCCGGCCCAGAAAAAACGAGCUCAAUCCCUCUCGCGGCUGGACUAAGUUGGAGCAGAUGUCGUCUCAAAAAAAAAGGUUGGCUAAAAAAACAAAAGUUGGAGCAGAGAUCCUUCCGUCGACGAAUCCAGCGGCGGCCGGUGAGAUCUGCUUGUUUCGAAGGUAUCCCUUCUCCACCUCCGGUCGAAUUUUGGUUGCUUGGAUUGUCCGAGAUCUAAUUCAAAAUCUUUCUUUCUUGGUUGCUGGAUUGAAAAGAUCGAUGAUGAAAAACAAGCGCCGGCUGGUGAGAGGCGAUGAAGAGCAACGCCCUUACAAAAGGGUAGCUAGGCCAAAGAGAUUGGACAGCUCGAGUGGAUCCAGUCCAGGCGCCCUGAGUGAACUUAGUGAGCAAGUAGUUUCAAGAUUGCGCAGGAGUGUCGUGUCGCUUGCUUCGUUCGAUGGUGAUACCAAGUUACGUGAAUGCACAGGCAUAUGCAUUGAAACCUCAUGUUCUGAUUCUGAAGCUACAAUCCUGACAUCGAGACGGUUGAUUCCACCUACUCGCGCAGCUGCAAGUUUGAAUAUAAAAGUACGCCUUCCGAAUGAUCGGAUUGUCACUGGGUGGAUAGAGGAUCCUAAGAUAUAUGUUGAUUUUUUCAUUGUCAACAUCAAGAAUGUGUCUGGUAUUGAUGCCGCAAGUCUUGACUGUGACAUGCAGUCUGAGCCACAUACGAAGGUAGCAGCUGUAUGCCGCUGUUUCAGUUCAGGAUUUUUAACAGCCACAAGUGGACUAAAUCUCGCCUCUCCAACCAAUGAGACAAUCGUAAGCACGUGCCGGAUCCACAAGGCGGGGAUUGGAGGCCCUCUUGUUGAUUUUGAUGGCAACUUUGUCGGGAUGAACUCCUCUCGUACCAAAAUGGAGAAGACUGCUUACGUGCGAAGGGAGGGAAUUUUCCGAUUCUUGGUGCUUCACGGGAAGGUCAGUGUUAGAGUUAAGGAAGGGUUUGAUGAUGUUUCAAGGGCAAGAAUGAACAGUGAGAUGAAAGCAAUUAGGCCAAGUUUGAGUGCUAAGUCCGUAGAGAAAUUGAGUAAAUCCAGAAAAGGUGCCUUGACUAUUCAGUUUGCACGUAUGACUCUCUCCCUCUCCAGUACAGCCAUUGCCCUGUGCUCAUUUCAGAUUAAAGUACGCCUUCCCGAUGAUCAGAUUGUCACUGGGUGGAUAGAGAAUCCUGAGAUAUAUGUUGAUUUUUUUAUCGUCAAAAUCAAGAACGACGAUGUUAUUGAUCCCCCCCAUCUAUGUCAUCUAAGUCUUGAUCGUGCCACGCAGUUUGAGCCUUAUAGGAAGGUAGCAGCUGUAUGGCGCUAUUAUGAUUCAGGAGAAUUAAAGACCACAAGUGGAGUAGAUCUUGCCUCUGUAUGCGCUCUUACAGAUGAGGAGAUGUUAAGCACAUGCCGAAUCCAUGAGGUGGGGAUUGGAGGUCCCGUUGUUGAUUUUGAUGGCAACUUUGUCGGGAUGAACUGCUCUGGUACCAAACAAAGAAAGACCCCCUACGUACGAAGGCCUUCGAUUCGUGAAUUCAUGUGGUUUUGCGAGAUGGUCAGUGUUAAGGAAGAGGUUGAUGAAGCUGCAACUGCAAGAUUUAAAAGUCGUUAUGGAGAUUCAGCUUUCCUCAGGGCAGGAGGUGGGCAAUACAUACAUCUUCUCGAUGAUACCUUCAAGAAGGAUAUCUUGAGGAAACCAUUGGGAGGUUUUGGAUUAGAAAUGGAUCAAAGUGCCUACUCACUUGCUUCAGAAUCAAGCAAACUUCUUGCUUCAAAAAUGAAUCGAAGUGUUGUCUCACUUGCUUCAUUCAAUGGUGAUGACUCUGAUUUGCAAAAAAGUUUUCUUGCUCAGAUACUGGUUAACAUAACGUUAUCAUUGCAGAUUGAAGUUUGCCUUCCAAACCAAUUUCGAGUUGUAGGGAUAUUGAACUGUUAUAAUUUACACUACAAUGUUGCUCUUGUUGACAUCAUGGGAUUCUGGCGUCCUCGUAUAAUAAAAAUCCAUGGGCAUCCAGUUACCUCAUCUAUGGACGUAAUAGCUGUGGGUAGUCUUUUUGCGUGUCGCAAACUAAUGGUUGUUGAGGGGAAGGUGUUGAUUGGCAAACAAAGCAAACUUGAUUGCAAAGAACUAUGUGUCUCCACCUGUAAAAUCACCAAGGCUGGGAUUGGGGGGCCUCUUAUUGACAAUGAUGGGAAUUUUGUUGGAAUGAACUUUUAUGAUGAGGAAGAAACUUCAUUCCUGCCGAGGGACGUUAUUCACCGCCUCUUAUUGAACUUAAAUAAAAAACGGACUAGUGCAGAUGUAACUCUUAUGCUUUUUGAAAUAUGGCUGAUCAACCACACAGAUGGUUGUUGCCUGGUGGGACACACGGGAACACUGAAACUGUUGCACCGAUUGAUGGAAACAAAUGGCCGUUGCCUGCGCCACGCUACGUUGGUCGUAGAGCCAACCCUUUGCCACGUCACAAAUGGCCUCUGCCUCGUGGCCGAAAGCCUCUACCUAUGUGAGGUCACCUUGGUUGUAGAGCCGACGAUCGCUGCUAGUAUUGAUGAUGUUUUCUCGUCCGUUGGUGCUGGGACCUCCAUUCUGAGCUGCUCGACUCUGUUAUCAUCGGAACCAAUUGAUGUCAUGGUGUUCUGUAUAUGUAAAUGGGCAAACCAUGUCAUAAGCCCAUGUGCUCUAAGCAUAGUGGUGUCCAAUGAUUUAUGUUCGCUCGUCUCCCUGGUAUCAACCAGCACCCAUUUUGCUGAUCUGCUGGUGAGGCAGGCUGCAUCCUUUGGAAGCAGCAAUUGUGAAGGAGUUGGCUUGAGCAUUCCAUCAACCAACCGGCAUAUGGAAGAUGAUGGCAGACUGAGUGAGGUCAUGCUAGCUUCAGGAAUCUCAUCCGGGCAUCUCCAGCGAGAGAACAAGCCAUCGAAGUACUGUAUUUCUCUUGGUGCGGCACCCAAAGAGGUUAGGAACUGCAGUAGCAAGAGGCAUCGCCAGGAGCCAUCUGUAACGCCAGAACCUAAUGAGCUUGCCAUCAACAGGAAGAUGAAGGCCGUGCCAUGGCUUUUCCGCCUCCAUCCAGUGCGGCCACCACCAAGGCCACCACAAGCAUAG
RNAcentral lists this ribosomal RNA (3576 nucleotides) under Triticum aestivum (bread wheat). Its description in RNAcentral is "partial small subunit ribosomal RNA". The record is from RNAcentral. Lineage: Eukaryota; Viridiplantae; Streptophyta; Magnoliopsida; Poales; Poaceae.